AGAGUUUGAUCCUGGCUCAGGACGAACGCUGGCGGCGUGCCUAACACAUGCAAGUCGAGCGGGGACUUGUUGAGGAAGUCUUCGGAUGAAAUCGAUAAGUUCUAGCGGCGGACGGGUGAGUAACGCGUGAGCAACCUGCCCUCCACAGGGGGAUAACGCACCGAAAGGUGCACUAAUACCGCAUAAGACCACGGCACUGACAUGGUGCAGGGGUCAAAGGAGCAAUCCGGUGGAAGAUGGGCUCGCGUCUGAUUAGCUAGUUGGUGAGGUAACGGCCCACCAAGGCGACGAUCAGUAGCCGACCUGAGAGGGUGAUCGGCCACAUUGGAACUGAGAGACGGUCCAAACUCCUACGGGAGGCAGCAGUGGGGAAUAUUGGGCAAUGGGCGAAAGCCUGACCCAGCAACGCCGCGUGAAGGAAGAAGGUUUUCGGAUCGUAAACUUCUAUCCUUGGUGAAGAUAAUGACGGUAGCCAAGAAGGAAGCCCCGGCUAACUACGUGCCAGCAGCCGCGGUAAUACGUAGGGGGCAAGCGUUGUCCGGAAUGAUUGGGCGUAAAGGGCGCGUAGGCGGCCAACUAAGUCUGGAGUGAAAGUCCUGCUUUUAAGGUGGGAAUUGCUUUGGAAACUGGAUGGCUUGAGUGCAGGAGAGGUAAGCGGAAUUCCCGGUGUAGCGGUGAAAUGCGUAGAGAUCGGGAGGAACACCAGUGGCGAAGGCGGCUUACUGGACUGUAACUGACGCUGAGGCGCGAAAGUGUGGGGAGCAAACAGGAUUAGAUACCCUGGUAGUCCACACUGUAAACGAUGAAUGCUAGGUGUAGGGGGUAUCGACCCCUUCUGUGCCGGAGUAAACACAAUAAGCAUUCCGCCUGGGGAGUACGGCCGCA
Molecule: ribosomal RNA, 885 nt
Filed under: uncultured bacterium
Lineage: Bacteria
Description: bacterial SSU rRNA
Rfam family: Bacterial small subunit ribosomal RNA
Source: RNAcentral